GAGUUUUGAUCCUGGCUCAGGAUGAACGCUAGCUACAGGCUUAACACAUGCAAGUCGAGGGGAAACGAUAUGGAAGCUUGCUUUCGAUAGGGCGUCGACCGGCGCACGGGUGAGUAACGCGUAUCCAACCUGCCCACCACUUGGGGAUAACCUUGCGAAAGUAAGACUAAUACCCAAUGAUAUCUCUAGAAGACAUCUGAAAGAGAUUAAAGAUUUAUCGGUGAUGGAUGGGGAUGCGUCUGAUUAGCUUGUUGGCGGGGUAACGGCCCACCAAGGCAACGAUCAGUAGGGGUUCUGAGAGGAAGGUCCCCCACAUUGGAACUGAGACACGGUCCAAACUCCUACGGGAGGCAGCA
RNAcentral lists this ribosomal RNA (356 nucleotides) under uncultured bacterium. RNAcentral's name for it is "bacterial SSU rRNA". It matches the Rfam family "Bacterial small subunit ribosomal RNA", at positions 9 to 353 of the family's 1533-position model. The record is from RNAcentral.